This 1958-nucleotide long non-coding RNA is filed under the name Triticum aestivum (bread wheat). Its description in RNAcentral is "long non-coding RNA (TAES_LNC003644)". The record is from RNAcentral. Lineage: Eukaryota; Viridiplantae; Streptophyta; Magnoliopsida; Poales; Poaceae.
GAAAUGCAGAGACUAUAUCAGGUUGGAAAUGUAUCAAGGAGUUAAUAAAAAAAGCUCAAUGAUCAAACCUUUGAUAUAGCUCUUUUUUUAUUAACAUCUGAUAUUGCUCAAUAUAUCUCUGGAAAUAUAUAUGAUAUUACUCAAAGAGUACCUGAUGGUAGAUACUCACAACAGUAAAAAAAUGGCCCUAUCUACAUGCCAUUGGCGCAUUUGUUAUACAAUGUGACAUGAAACACCUGAGCAAGGUCUGGUAUGAUAGAAACCAAAAAGCAGGCCAUAGUAUUAGUCCCAGAUAACUUAUUUACAAUGUUUUUCAUAUUGCACAACAAACUACUCUCUCCGUAAAGAAAUAUAAGAACGUUUAGAUCACCAAAGUAGUACAUGGUUGGCUAUUGGAUAUAUAACUUUAUCCACACGCCUUCAUCCAAUUUGCUUGAUAUAUAACUUUCUCCACACUCCUUCUUUUGAUUUGCAUGCAUGUUGUGAUGCACGGAUCUGCUAAAGGACAUGUCGUGUUAGGCAAACUAUUCAAAUAGCGCGUCUCAUGGACAGGGAGAAAAUAAUUUGGUCUAUAUGAAGGAGAAUCACUCUGGAUAAUACACAGUGAUUUGGAUACAGUAUAGCCUUUUAACAUAAAAGAAUAUAUAAGAUAAAAUUAGAAUUAUUUUAUCUUAGCAUUUUGCAUGGCCUACAAUGGGCGACAGAUAAGAAUCACAAACCUAUGGUGACACAAGAAGCCUCUGAAGCAAAGAAGGCGGCUCAACGGUGACUUGGAAAGUGAGAGAGGCGGAGCGCUGGCCUACAUCUCCCCAGGCUCUGCCUGGUGCCCAUCAAUAAGGUAAGAGUCCAUGAAACCACACAUAAUUAUUUUCGCAUGCGAAGUGACAACACAAAUAACCAUGGGAUCUUAUUUUCUACAAAAGGAUCAACAAUUAGAAUGCCAGAUUUGGCAACAACAUAAUACAUACUUCCAUAUCGGAGACAUAAAUUUCUUAAUUCUUAAACAAUGCGGUUCUAAAAUGUUUUAUCUAUCAACAACAUAGUAUUAGUGGUUGUGCUUUCAGCAAUAUAAACAAUUAGAGACAUGCAACAAUGGUACAUACACAUGAUACAGUAAAAGAGCCUAGAAAAGAAAUCAAUUCGAGUCACAGAACGAAGGUAGAGAAACCUCACCGACUGAGGUAGGUAUACAUAUGCUCAACUCAACCGGACAGAGACGCAACAUAAGUUAUUUUUUGUGAAAAACACAACAGAAGCUGAAUAAAGUAACAGAAGGAACCAGUAGAUAACUUUAUUGGUACCCAGCAUAUAUGGUUCAAUUUUCUUUCAACUAAAAUAUAUAUGCAAAGGUGAGUCUAGUUACCUUGCACUAAUUUGACAGAAAUGAGUUUUGCUUCCCACGAAAACACAUACAUGAACAUAAUUAGUGCAAGUCCAGUGCAUGAUUAAUUUUAUUUCAAGUACACCAUAGAAAUAAAGUACUAUCUCAAGGUUCUUGGUUUGUAUGAUUGUCAUCAUGUGUUCAAUUAACAUAUCUUGGGUCUAAUAGUAACCAUGUCUCUACUAAAUCUAGCCACAAUGCCCUGGACAUAUAUAAAGAUGCACACAAGACAAAAGAUAGUACUCGGCGUACAUAAGGACCUUGAUCGCCGUUGUGCCUUCCUGUUGCCUUUGACUUGAUCAAAGGCCAGCAAAGAAGCAACAAAGACAAUGGCAGUGGCGGAGGCGGUGGUAUCCAGUCAUCGGCAGACGGGGAGGCCUCCACCGGCGCCGUGGCCGGUGGUGUUUCCCUUUUGGGCUAUCUCGAUGCCACGGUCCUCACUGGUCACUAUAGAGUAGUGGCAUGAGCGGCGGCCUACACAACCCUUCCAGCAAUGGCGGCGGGAGACACAACGUCAACCAACAAACCAAAACGUUGGGAGAGGCGGUCACAGAGAGAGACGGCAUGGUGGCGAUCU